Molecule: ribosomal RNA, 225 nt
Filed under: Salmonella enterica subsp. enterica serovar Lubbock
Lineage: Bacteria; Pseudomonadati; Pseudomonadota; Gammaproteobacteria; Enterobacterales; Enterobacteriaceae
Description: partial 23S ribosomal RNA
Rfam family: Bacterial large subunit ribosomal RNA
Source: RNAcentral
UAAAGAAAGCGUAAUAGCUCACUGGUCGAGUCGGCCUGCGCGGAAGAUGUAACGGGGCUAAACCAUGCACCGAAGCUGCGGCAGCGACACUGUGUGUUGUUGGGUAGGGGAGCGAUCUGUAAGCCUGUGAAGGUGGCCUGUGAGGGUUGCUGGAGGUAUCAGAAGUGCGAAUGCUGACAUAAGUAACGAUAAAGCGGGUGAAAAGCCCGCUCGCCGGAAGACCAA